This 241-nucleotide ribosomal RNA is filed under the name uncultured bacterium. RNAcentral describes it as "partial 16S ribosomal RNA". It matches the Rfam family "Bacterial small subunit ribosomal RNA", at positions 92 to 334 of the family's 1533-position model. The record is from RNAcentral.
CGACCGGCGCACGGUGAGUAACGCGUAUCCAACCUGCCCACCACUUGGGGAUAACCUUGCGAAAGUAAGACUAAUACCCAAUGAUAUCUCUAGAAGACAUCUGAAAGAGAUUAAAGAUUUAUCGGUGAUGGAUGGGGAUGCGUCUGAUUAGCUUGUUGGCGGGGUAACGGCCCACCAAGGCAACGAUCAGUAGGGGUUCUGAGAGGAAGGUCCCCCACAUUGGAACUGAGACACGGUCCAA